Molecule: small nuclear RNA, 299 nt
Filed under: Castor canadensis (American beaver)
Lineage: Eukaryota; Metazoa; Chordata; Mammalia; Rodentia; Castoridae
Description: 7SK RNA (ENSCCNG00000015322.1)
Rfam family: 7SK RNA
About the family: 7SK was discovered as an abundant small nuclear RNA in the mid-70s but a possible function has only recently been suggested.
Source: RNAcentral
GGAUGUGAGGGCGAUCUGCCUGUGAAAUCUGUCACCCCAUUGAAGGCCAGGAUUGAUUCGGCUGAUCUGGCUGGAUAGGCGGGUGUCCCCUUCCUCCCUCACCACUCCAUGUGCGUCCCUCCCAAAGUUGCAUGCUCUGUCAAAGAGGAUGACCAUCCCUGAUAGAGGAUGAUGUUCUUCAGUCAAGGGUAUACAAGUAGCUGCACUCCCUUGCUAGAACCUCCAAACAAGCUCUCAAGAUCUUCUUCUUUGCAACCCUGUCACAUCCUAAUACUUCAAUUCAGAAUGUUCAAGUCUUU